Ipomoea nil (Japanese morning glory) is the source of this 1341-nucleotide RNA transcript. It is a transcript of the gene named protein unc-50 homolog, with no coding region annotated. The transcript is spliced from 12 exons. The record is from RefSeq and is a predicted model, not a curated record. Lineage: Eukaryota; Viridiplantae; Streptophyta; Magnoliopsida; Solanales; Convolvulaceae.
CCAAGGCUUUGAGUAGAAUUCACUAAAGCGCUGCGCCAUAUUCAUCGACGACGCUUUAGCAUCCCUUGGGCCGUAAGCAUUUUCACAUUGGGCUGGGCCCACAUUUGCUAGCCUAUCAAACAAACAGUCCAUCGCAGACUCUCACCGGUCGAGAGAGAGAGAGAAACAGAAUAGAGGUUGCAGAAACUGAUUAGUUCUCCGAUCAACGACCGCCGGAGAAGAAGAAGAAGAAGGAGAAGGAGAAGAUGCUUCCCACCAAUUCAUCGAAAGGGCGAACGAGCUCUUAUGCUCGACAGAAUCCCGUUUUCCCUCAAUACAUCCGCAGAAUAGUCAAGUGGCAACAAAUGGACAUUGAAUAUACUUUCUGGCAAAUGCUUAACCUAUGCACCUCUCCAAAAGUGGUAUAUCAGCACACUAAAUACCACAAACAAACAAAGAACCAAUGGGCACGUGAUGAUCCUGCAUUUAUUGUAAUAUGCAGUCUUCUUUUGAUAGUUGCUACUUUAGCUUACUGUGCUGCGUAUGACCAUAGUGCAGGGCAUGCUGUUUUUGUAAUUAUCUCAGUGUUGCUUUUUCAUUUUUUAGUAACCGGAGCUGUAUUGGCUACAUGUUGUUGGUUCUUGACAAACAAUUAUCUACGAGAGGAAGCUCCAAGCAGUCACGUGGUGGAACAACGGGUCGAAUGGUUGUAUGCAUUUGAUGUCCACUGCAACUCUUUCUUCCCAAUGUUCAUCAUGCUUUAUGUCGUACAUUAUUUUCUUUCCCCUAUCUUGGUUACUCAUGGUUUCAUUCCCCUUCUACUAUCAAAUUUGCUCUUCAUGAUUGCUGCAUCCUACUAUCAUUACCUCAAUUUUUUAGGUUACGAUGUAUUGCCCUUUUUGGAAAGGACCACGUUCUUCCUUUACCCAAUCGGCAUUGUCAUCGUCCUUUCACCUAUUUUUAUUUUGACGGGCUUCAAUCCAUCAAGGUAUUUCAUGAACAUUUACUUCAGCAGAGCGUUGUGAUCGCAGCUUAGACUUGUUAUAGGUACAUAUUACUACCUUAGAUACCCCUUCAGAUGCCACGAGCUGUAGGACAACCGAGAUGCAAUCAAUCAUUUACCGGUUUCAUUAUAUAUGCAAUCAAUCGUUUACCGGUUUCAUUAUAUCUUCAAUGGAACAACGGCCGUGUUUAUGGCAUAGUUCUCUGGUAUGGCCUUUUACAGUUAGGAAUGAUAAUUGUAAUUGAGGGGAGGUGUUAGUGUAUUUGUAUGGUGAAGCUAUUGAGUGUAAAGAUUUUGUUUUCUUGAUUGUGCACUAAUUGUCAAUGAUGAAACCACAGCUUCUUGCUUGCACUUUGCCU